Molecule: ribosomal RNA, 253 nt
Filed under: uncultured bacterium
Lineage: Bacteria
Description: partial 16S ribosomal RNA
Rfam family: Bacterial small subunit ribosomal RNA
Source: RNAcentral
GCCGAACCGAGCGAACGUUGUUCGGAAUCACUGGGCUUAAAGGGCGCGUAGGCGGGCUGUCAAGUCUGGGGUGAAAUCCCACGGCUCAACCGUGGAACUGCCUUAGAUACUGACGGCCUCGAGGGAGAUAGGGGCGAGCGGAACUGUGAGUGGAGCGGUGAAAUGCGUUGAUAUUCACAGGAACUCCGGUGGCGAAGGCGGCUCGCUGGAUCUUUUCUGACGCUGAGGCGCGAAAGCUAGGGGAGCAAACGGG